RNAcentral lists this non-coding RNA (29 nucleotides) under Mus musculus (house mouse). The record is from RNAcentral. Lineage: Eukaryota; Metazoa; Chordata; Mammalia; Rodentia; Muridae.
UUCGGUGCACCAUUUCUUUUUGUCUAAUG